This 321-nucleotide ribosomal RNA is filed under the name uncultured bacterium. Its description in RNAcentral is "partial 16S ribosomal RNA". The record is from RNAcentral.
ACAUCAAGAGAUGCGGACUGUANCUGUUUAGGUCGGAUUACUUAGCUGGUGGGGUAGUGGCUCAUCUGGGCCACCAUCUGUAACUGGUCUGAGAGGAUGAUCAUUCGGACUGUAAUUGAUUGACGUUCUCCACUCCUUCCUCCGGUAUCUCUGGGGAAUAUUCCUUAAUGGGCGAAAGCUACAUGCUGCCAUGCCGCGACAGUGAAUGCGGUCGCCGAUUGAAAUAACCUUUAUCUUGGGAGGAAGGGCAGUAACUAAUACUUUGCUCUUUUGUCCUGCUGACUGAAUACCCACCGAUUUACUCAGUGUUAAUUGGAUGUC